CGAGUUCUCGUUGAUGAUCGGUGCUUGCACCGAGAUUCAACAUGGAACGAGUGGCGGACGGGUGAGUAACACGUGGGUAACCUGCCCUUAAGUGGGGGAUAACAUUUGGAAACAGAUGCUAAUACCGCAUAGAUCCAAGAACCGCAKGGUUCUUGGCUGAAAGAUGGCGUAAGCUAUCGCUUUUGGAUGGACCCGCGGCGUAUUAGCUAGUUGGUGAGGUAAUGGCUCACCAAGGCGAUGAUACGUAGCCGAACUGAGAGGUUGAUCGGCCACAUUGGGACUGAGACACGGCCCAAACUCCUACGGGAGGCAGCAGUAGGGAAUCUUCCACAAUGGACGCAAGUCUGAUGGAGCAACGCCGCGUGAGUGAAGAAGGCUUUCGGGUCGUAAAACUCUGUUGUUGGAGAAGAAUGGUCGGCAGAGUAACUGUUGUCGGCGUGACGGUAUCCAACCAGAAAGCCACGGCUAACUACGUGCCAGCAGCCGCGGUAAUACGUAGGUGGCAAGCGUUAUCCGGAUUUAUUGGGCGUAAAGCGAGCGCAGGCGGUUUUUUAAGUCUGAUGUGAAAGCCCUCGGCUUAACCGAGGAAGCGCAUCGGAAACUGGGAAACUUGAGUGCAGAAGAGGACAGUGGAACUCCAUGUGUAGCGGUGAAAUGCGUAGAUAUAUGGAAGAACACCAGUGGCGAAGGCGGCUGUCUGGUCUGUAACUGACGCUGAGGCUCGAAAGCAUGGGUAGCGAACAGGAUUAGAUACCCUGGUAGUCCAUGCCGUAAACGAUGAAUGCUAGGUGUUGGAGGGUUUCCGCCCUUCAGUGCCGCAGCUAACGCAUUAAGCAUUCCGCCUGGGGAGUACGACCGCAAGGUUGAAACUCAAAGGAAUUGACGGGGGCCCGCACAAGCGGUGGAGCAUGUGGUUUAAUUCGAAGCAACGCGAAGAACCUUACCAGGUCUUGACAUCUUUUGAUCACCUGAGAGAUCAGGUUUCCCCUUCGGGGGCAAAAUGACAGGUGGUGCAUGGUUGUCGUCAGCUCGUGUCGUGAGAUGUUGGGUUAAGUCCCGCAACGAGCGCA
This 1070-nucleotide ribosomal RNA is filed under the name Lacticaseibacillus paracasei. RNAcentral describes it as "bacterial SSU rRNA". It matches the Rfam family "Bacterial small subunit ribosomal RNA", at positions 58 to 1100 of the family's 1533-position model. Lineage: Bacteria; Bacillati; Bacillota; Bacilli; Lactobacillales; Lactobacillaceae. The record is from RNAcentral.